AAGUGAUGGGUUGUAGCUCCAUAAACAGAGGUUUAAGUCCUCUUCUUAC
RNAcentral lists this transfer RNA (49 nucleotides) under Epiplatys sexfasciatus (sixbar panchax). RNAcentral's name for it is "partial tRNA-Tyr". The record is from RNAcentral. Lineage: Eukaryota; Metazoa; Chordata; Actinopteri; Cyprinodontiformes; Nothobranchiidae.